CCUACGGGAGGCUGCAGUGGGGAAUAUUGGACAAUGGGGGGAACCCUGAUCCAGCCAUGCCGCGUGUGUGAAGAAGGCCCUCGGGUUGUAAAGCACUUUCAGUGAGGAAGAACGCCUGGUGGUUAAUACCCAUCAGGAAAGACAUCACUCACAGAAGAAGCACCGGCUAACUCCGUGCCAGCAGCCGCGGUAAUACGGAGGGUGCGAGCGUUAAUCGGAAUUACUGGGCGUAAAGCGCGCGUAGGUGGCUUGAUAAGCCGGUUGUGAAAGCCCCGGGCUCAACCUGGGAACGGCAUCCGGAACUGUCAAGCUAGAGUGCAGGAGAGGAAGGUAGAAUUCCCGGUGUAGCGGUGAAAUGCGUAGAGAUCGGGAGGAAGACCAGUGGCGAAGGCGGCCUUCUGGACUGACACUGACACUGAGGUGCGAAAGCGUGGGUAGCAAACAGGAUUAGAUACCCUAGUAGUC
This 465-nucleotide ribosomal RNA is filed under the name Vreelandella stevensii. RNAcentral's name for it is "partial 16S ribosomal RNA". It matches the Rfam family "Bacterial small subunit ribosomal RNA", at positions 338 to 795 of the family's 1533-position model. The record is from RNAcentral. Lineage: Bacteria; Pseudomonadati; Pseudomonadota; Gammaproteobacteria; Oceanospirillales; Halomonadaceae.